Molecule: long non-coding RNA, 247 nt
Filed under: Vigna radiata
Lineage: Eukaryota; Viridiplantae; Streptophyta; Magnoliopsida; Fabales; Fabaceae
Description: long non-coding RNA (VRAD_LNC014126)
Source: RNAcentral
GCGGCUCUUCUUUUAAAUGAAGGAUGAUUCUCCUCUUCUACGUGUUGCCCUACCUCACGUGUUGGACCCAUUUUUCUUUUGCUGGAUGUUGCUCCUUCUUUUGGACAAAGCUGGACCAUGUGGCAUGCUUCCUUAAGCAAACACAAAUUGAUCAAUCUCGGUCGUGUGGCAACAGCAUCUCCAUGCUGCACCUCCCAGCUGAACUAUGAAGCUGCUUCUCCCAAUUGCUAGACGCACCUUCCAGCAC